This 552-nucleotide ribosomal RNA is filed under the name uncultured bacterium. RNAcentral's name for it is "bacterial SSU rRNA". It matches the Rfam family "Bacterial small subunit ribosomal RNA", at positions 777 to 1325 of the family's 1533-position model. The record is from RNAcentral.
AAUAGAUACCCGGGUAGUCCACGCCGUAAACGAUGAGUGCUAAGUGUUGGGGGGUUUCCGCCCCUCAGUGCUGCAGCUAACGCAUUAAGCACUCCGCCUGGGGAGUACGGUCGCAAGACUGAAACUCAAAGGAAUUGACGGGGGCCCGCACAAGCGGUGGAGCAUGUGGUUUAAUUCGAAGCAACGCGAAGAACCUUACCAGGUCUUGACAUCCCGGUGACCACUAUGGAGACAUAGUUUCCCCUUCGGGGGCAACGGUGACAGGUGGUGCAUGGUUGUCGUCAGCUCGUGUCGUGAGAUGUUGGGUUAAGUCCCGCAACGAGCGCAACCCUUAUUCUUAGUUGCCAUCAUUCAGUUGGGCACUCUAAGGAGACUGCCGGUGAUAAACCGGAGGAAGGUGGGGAUGACGUCAAAUCAUCAUGCCCCUUAUGACCUGGGCUACACACGUGCUACAAUGGACGGUACAAACGGUUGCCAACCCGCGAGGGGGGAGCUAAUCCGAUAAAACCGUUCUCAGUUCGGAUUGUAGGCUGCAACUCGCCUACAUGAACG